GGAGGAGUAAUCAAGCCCGGCCAAAGAUGCAGGACUUAAGAUCCUGUCGCUCAGGCGUUCGUGGGUUCAAAUCCCACCUCCUCCACCA
RNAcentral lists this transfer RNA (88 nucleotides) under Nitrosarchaeum sp. Its description in RNAcentral is "tRNA-Leu". It matches the Rfam family "tRNA". Rfam says of the family: Transfer RNA (tRNA) molecules are approximately 80 nucleotides in length. Lineage: Archaea; Thermoproteati; Nitrososphaerota; Nitrososphaeria; Nitrosopumilales; Nitrosopumilaceae. The record is from RNAcentral.